GUCAUGUUGGUGGGUACAUUAUUGUGUCCAUCAUUUAAAGAAUUGUCCGCCUAUGUGGGGCACACAUAAAUUCAAACAUGAUUUUUUAUCUCUCGUAGGGAAAAGGUACAAUUUCAUAUUAGUGUUUACAGCAAGUAAAGAUUAUGGGUAUCUACUUUUCCUAUUUCACAAAGAUACUGACAUCACCACAAUGGUGACGAAGUGAACAAACCUUGGCAAUGUAAGCAAAAAAACAAAAUUUUGCAAGAAAAGAAACUUUUCUAAUCGAUUGAAGUGUGACCCUAUUUCUACAAAGAAGGUGUAAUCUGUAAGCAUCACCAAAGGAAACAUCAGACGAACAAAACAAACGAAAGGCCACGAUAGGAAGUAAAAAAAUUGAAUUCAGUGUGCGGAAUAUAUGUUUAUAUACCCAGCCUAGAAUCUGAGAAUACAAUUUGCAGCCAUAAAUGCAAUAAAUGGAAGGAAAAACAUAAGAUUUGGUACAUCCUUGACAGACUAUUCAUGUGUGCCAUCUUGGCCAAAAACAUAGGAAAUCAUGAUCCUCGAAAUGACAACUUUCGAAGUCCUAAAGCUCGCUAAGAUGAUUAAUAAGCAUAGAGCCAGAGUCAAGGCACAAAGAAAUAUCUGCACGUAAAGCAUGUCAUCCUUUAUUUCUACACCAAAGUAUACUACUGCCGUAGUACUGCACUGUCUAAUUACUAAGUGAAGAAAUCAUUGAAGCAUGAAUCACACAAACUAAACAGUACUAAGCAAGGGAUAAUUAAGGUCUAAAUGCAUGCACAUACCUCUGCUUAUAGAAGUGUCUCUUACAACACUCUGUUUCAUAACUUGAUUACAGAUUUAAGCUUCCAGGCAUGCACCUAAGAACCAGACAUGGCACCAAUGAGCAUUGAUAUAUUAGCAAAUAUAUUCCUUAAAUUCAGAGGUGAUAAAAAAAGAACACCCAUUUAGUUACCAUUUCUACAAUGGUUUGGGAAUUAGCAAGUGUGGAAGUUCUAUUUCUGUAAAGACUCUUGAUCAAAUGCAUUUCUCCCAGAAAGAUAAAAUUGGUACCAUCAAGAGUUCAAGACCAUUGGAGCAUAGAAUAUCAUGAAAACACCUUUAUACUAUGGAAAUAAGCACCUUCUCCCCUUAAUACAUGGUUAUAUUUGUUCUUCUUCUCCUGUGUCAGAUCGUAAUUCAUUUAAUCAUAACCUUUAUAGUAUGGAAUAGUAAUAAUCAGGCUCAACAUCCGAUGUAGUUGGACUAAAUAAGGUACCAUUAGUUUUCCCAUGAAAAAUAGGCAAGCCAUAUUAGAUUUUUGAAAUAAAAAAGGCAAAACCUGCAGCAAGCAUGUUCGUCUGCAUCAUCUUGUGGUCCUUUAUCAUCGAGAUAAUACCCAUACGCAUAUGUGCAUUGCAGCACUUGUAUGCAUUCUAUGAUCUGUCGUAGUGAAGGAUGAUAGGGUAGGCGUGUCAGAAAAAGGAAGGCUAUAUUAAGCAUAGAACCAGUUUAUGGGCAUCAUAAGAUAUUUAGCCUAUGACCAAGCUUCAGGUAUGAACUUUAGUUCAGUCUCUGGUAUUCCAAGGAUAUCACUUAACUUCGUAAGCUAGAUGAGAACAAAUAGCCAAUCGGCAGCGCCGCUGAAUUAUGAGCCUCAAUUAGGCAGCGCCGCUGAACUCUACACCGUGCGAUCCUGCGUCAUUUAAUAAUAUAAUUGUAUAAGCAUGCUAGAAAGAAGCUAGCAAAUUAUCUGUUUAUCAUUCCUCUAAUCCUUGAGGCAUUUAGGCAGUCAGGCAAAAUUUGGAACUGAAUACUGCAUGCAGCAAUUUAAUAGUGUACCUAUGGAGACAAGCUAAGAGCCAAUGUAACAAAACACACAAUAGAUUUACAAAGUACUACAGAUCACCUGAAAGUUUGCCAAAUAACAGGCACACCAAAUUGUAAGCAGAGCUGGUAAUUCCUCUGUCAAACUAACAGAACACACGAGAGGAGUAAGCCAUUGCCCAGCAAAUUUACCUCGAGGGAUAGAAUAGAACAACUCCCGCAAAGGUAAAAAAAGAUAAAACAAGAACAGAGUCAGUCAUGAACAGAACAUGCAAAGGAAUAGAUUUACCAGCAUGGAAGAGACCUUUACACAAAAGAAAUAACUCACCCACGUACAUUUGCUUCCCAAACACAAACAACAGAGCAUGCAAUUGAAUUCAGUCAGCCGCGAGCUCGCCUUCUCUCCCGUGCUCUCCCCUCCCUCGGUCCCCUUCUUCCCUCCCGACCGACGGAGCCAUCCAGUGGCGGCGGCGGCGGUGGCGGCAUGGGCCUGAUGCGACCACGCAGCAGUCAAACAAACUUUUGCAAGAAAAGAAACAUUUCUAAUCGAUUGAAGUGUGACCUUAUUUCUACAAAGAAGGUGUAAUCUGUAAGCAUCACCAAAGGAAACAUCAGACGAACAAAACAAACGAAAGGCCACGAUAGG
RNAcentral lists this long non-coding RNA (2452 nucleotides) under Triticum aestivum (bread wheat). RNAcentral describes it as "long non-coding RNA (TAES_LNC020726)". The record is from RNAcentral. Lineage: Eukaryota; Viridiplantae; Streptophyta; Magnoliopsida; Poales; Poaceae.